This 414-nucleotide unclassified non-coding RNA is filed under the name uncultured Sebacinaceae. RNAcentral's name for it is "sequence contains ITS2". The stretch from base 1 to 154 matches the Rfam family "5.8S ribosomal RNA". Lineage: Eukaryota; Fungi; Basidiomycota; Agaricomycetes; Sebacinales; Sebacinaceae. The record is from RNAcentral.
AACUUUUGACAAUGGAUCUCUUGGCUCUCGCAUCGAUGAAGAACGCAGCGAAAUGCUAUAAGUAAUGUGAAUUGCAGAAUUCAGUGAAUCAUCGAAUCUUUGAACGCACCUUGCACCCUUUGGUAUUCCGAAGGGUAUGCUCGUUUGAGUGUCAUUGUACUCUCACACUUCCGAUCGUUGGAUCGGGAGCGGUGGACUUGGGUGUUGCUGCUUUACUGUGGCUCACCUUAAAUGCAUUAUUGCAACUUUCGAUUGGACAUAGUACGGUGUGAUAGGUGUCUUCGCCGGCACCUCACAGAGUGUGGCCGGUCGGGAGCUCUGUGCUUCUAUCCGUCUGCGGACAAUAACUGACAACUUGGCCUCAAAUCGAGUAGGACUACCCGCUGAACUUAAGCAUAUCAAUAAGCGGAGGCG